UCUCUGUUAGUCUAGUGGAAAUAUGUCAGCUCGUGGUGCUGAAGACGGGGGUUCGAUUCUCGUAGAGUGGA
Molecule: non-coding RNA, 71 nt
Organism: Melanomma pulvis-pyrius CBS 109.77
Lineage: Eukaryota; Fungi; Ascomycota; Dothideomycetes; Pleosporales; Melanommataceae
Source: the annotation of a GenBank genome assembly